GACGAACGCUGGCGGCGUGCUUAACACAUGCAAGUCGAACGGAAAGGCCCUGCUUUUGUGGGGUGCUCGAGUGGCGAACGGGUGAGUAACACGUGAGUAACCUGCCCUUGACUUUGGGAUAACUUCAGGAAACUGGGGCUAAUACCGGAUAGGAGCUCCUGCUGCAUGGUGGGGGUUGGAAAGUUUCGGCGGUUGGGGAUGGACUCGCGGCUUAUCAGCUUGUUGGUGGGGUAGUGGCUUACCAAGGCUUUGACGGGUAGCCGGCCUGAGAGGGUGACCGGCCACAUUGGGACUGGGAUACGGCCCAGACUCCUCCGGGGGGCAGCAGUGGGGAAUAUUGCACAAUGGGCGGAAGCCUGAUGCAGCAACGCCGCGUGCGGGAUGACGGCCUUCGGGUUGUAAACCGCUUUCGCCUGUGACGAAGCGUGAGUGACGGUAAUGGGUAAAGAAGCACCGGCUAACUACGUG
RNAcentral lists this ribosomal RNA (468 nucleotides) under uncultured bacterium. RNAcentral describes it as "partial 16S ribosomal RNA". It matches the Rfam family "Bacterial small subunit ribosomal RNA", at positions 28 to 507 of the family's 1533-position model. The record is from RNAcentral.